GAAAGGCUCAUUAAAUCAGUUAUGGUUCCUUAGAUCGUACCCACAAAUACUUGGAUAACUGUGGUAAUUCUAGAGUAAUACGUGCAAACAGAGCUCCGACCGGAGACGGAAGGAGUGCUUUUAUUAGAUCAAAACCAAUCGGUGGCGGUCUCGUCAUCGUACAACUUGGUGACUCUGAAUAACUUUACGCUGAUCGCACGGUCACCGCACCGGCGACGCAUCUUUCAAAUGUCUGCCUUAUCAACUGUCGAUGGUAGGUUCUGCGCCUACCAUGGUCGUAACGGGUAACGGGGAAUCAGGGUUCGAUUCCGGAGAGGGAGCCUGAGAAACGGCUACCACAUCCAAGGAAGGCAGCAGGCGCGCAAAUUACCCACUCCCGGCACGGGGAGGUAGUGACGAAAAAUAACGAUACGGGACUCAUCCGAGGCCCCGUAAUCGGAAUGAGUACACUCUAAACCCUUUAACGAGGAUCAAUUGGAGGGCAAGUCUGGUGCCAGCAGCCGCGGUA
RNAcentral lists this ribosomal RNA (508 nucleotides) under Tragopus sp. ARC5325. RNAcentral's name for it is "SSU rRNA". It matches the Rfam family "Eukaryotic small subunit ribosomal RNA", at positions 91 to 581 of the family's 1831-position model. The record is from RNAcentral. Lineage: Eukaryota; Metazoa; Arthropoda; Insecta; Coleoptera; Curculionidae.